This 1489-nucleotide ribosomal RNA is filed under the name Lactiplantibacillus pentosus. Its description in RNAcentral is "bacterial SSU rRNA". It matches the Rfam family "Bacterial small subunit ribosomal RNA". Lineage: Bacteria; Bacillati; Bacillota; Bacilli; Lactobacillales; Lactobacillaceae. The record is from RNAcentral.
GACGAACGCUGGCGGCGUGCCUAAUACAUGCAAGUCGAACGAACUCUGGUAUUGAUUGGUGCUUGCAUCAUGAUUUACAUUUGAGUGAGUGGCGAACUGGUGAGUAACACGUGGGAAACCUGCCCAGAAGCGGGGGAUAACACCUGGAAACAGAUGCUAAUACCGCAUAACAACUUGGACCGCAUGGUCCGAGUUUGAAAGAUGGCUUCGGCUAUCACUUUUGGAUGGUCCCGCGGCGUAUUAGCUAGAUGGUGGGGUAACGGCUCACCAUGGCAAUGAUACGUAGCCGACCUGAGAGGGUAAUCGGCCACAUUGGGACUGAGACACGGCCCAAACUCCUACGGGAGGCAGCAGUAGGGAAUCUUCCACAAUGGACGAAAGUCUGAUGGAGCAACGCCGCGUGAGUGAAGAAGGGUUUCGGCUCGUAAAACUCUGUUGUUAAAGAAGAACAUAUCUGAGAGUAACUGUUCAGGUAUUGACGGUAUUUAACCAGAAAGCCACGGCUAACUACGUGCCAGCAGCCGCGGUAAUACGUAGGUGGCAAGCGUUGUCCGGAUUUAUUGGGCGUAAAGCGAGCGCAGGCGGUUUUUUAAGUCUGAUGUGAAAGCCUUCGGCUCAACCGAAGAAGUGCAUCGGAAACUGGGAAACUUGAGUGCAGAAGAGGACAGUGGAACUCCAUGUGUAGCGGUGAAAUGCGUAGAUAUAUGGAAGAACACCAGUGGCGAAGGCGGCUGUCUGGUCUGUAACUGACGCUGAGGCUCGAAAGUAUGGGUAGCAAACAGGAUUAGAUACCCUGGUAGUCCAUACCGUAAACGAUGAAUGCUAAGUGUUGGAGGGUUUCCGCCCUUCAGUGCUGCAGCUAACGCAUUAAGCAUUCCGCCUGGGGAGUACGGCCGCAAGGCUGAAACUCAAAGGAAUUGACGGGGGCCCGCACAAGCGGUGGAGCAUGUGGUUUAAUUCGAAGCUACGCGAAGAACCUUACCAGGUCUUGACAUACUAUGCAAAUCUAAGAGAUUAGACGUUCCCUUCGGGGACAUGGAUACAGGUGGUGCAUGGUUGUCGUCAGCUCGUGUCGUGAGAUGUUGGGUUAAGUCCCGCAACGAGCGCAACCCUUAUUAUCAGUUGCCAGCAUUAAGUUGGGCACUCUGGUGAGACUGCCGGUGACAAACCGGAGGAAGGUGGGGAUGACGUCAAAUCAUCAUGCCCCUUAUGACCUGGGCUACACACGUGCUACAAUGGAUGGUACAACGAGUUGCGAACUCGCGAGAGUAAGCUAAUCUCUUAAAGCCAUUCUCAGUUCGGAUUGUAGGCUGCAACUCGCCUACAUGAAGUCGGAAUCACUAGUAAUCGCGGAUCAGCAUGCCGCGGUGAAUACGUUCCCGGGCCUUGUACACACCGCCCGUCACACCAUGAGAGUUUGUAACACCCAAAGUCGGUGGGGUAACCUUUUAGGAACCAGCCGCCUAAGGUGGGACAGAUGAUUAGGGUG